GUCUACAGCCAUACCACCCUGAAUAUGCCCUAUCUUGUCUGAUAUCGGAAGCUAAGCAGGGUCGGGCCUGGUUAGUACUUGGAUGGGAGAUCAGUUAUCAACUUUGAAUGUCAGUGGUCU
Molecule: ribosomal RNA, 120 nt
Organism: Mustela putorius furo (domestic ferret)
Lineage: Eukaryota; Metazoa; Chordata; Mammalia; Carnivora; Mustelidae
Source: Ensembl